AGGUACACCUCGGAAUCUACAAGUGGGGGCUCCCCUUUGAAUAUCUGGCUGUUUAUAUCAGUUAGCUGGGCAACUGUGAGGUUCCAGUUUGCUUGUUUGAACCUUCAGGUGCUCUCCGUUUAACUUUCGAAUUACCAGGAUCCUGACCCUCCUAUGGCAGAGAGCUGACCAUUUUGUUUUUUAGAGUAUUCUCCUCCUUCUGGACUUUGUUUGUGAAAACUGAUGAAGAUGUGGGAAAGAGAGAUAGGUGUAGAAAUAGACCUUCGAGUCUGGAGCAGAGCAGUUUUUCUUACAAAGAUGCCUGAAUACAUUGCAAAUAUGGAGCAGAAAGAAGUGAGGGAAAGUCAAGAGAAUCAGAUC
Molecule: long non-coding RNA, 360 nt
Organism: Bombina bombina (fire-bellied toad)
Lineage: Eukaryota; Metazoa; Chordata; Amphibia; Anura; Bombinatoridae
Exons: 3
Source: RefSeq, a predicted model, not a curated record